AGCAAACGACGGCAAUGUUGCCAGAUUCCUUUUAGCGGGAAUUUUAAAAUUUUAUAAGAGUUUGGUUUUAAAUUUGACAGUUCUGUUUUCUCAAGUCAAAAAUCUUAACCUUACUUUUACAAGUGAUUAGGAUUAUUAUUAUUAUUUUAUUUACAUGUAAAUUGAAACAAUAAAUAUUGUGGCUGUGUCAUAAUUUCAAACUCAUUAUGUUGCAGUCUUUUCCAGUUGAUAAAAUUGCAAUUCAAAAACUUUUAGAUUUGCACUGUAUGGAUGGCACAGGAAGAGAAACAAGAGUACAAGAACAUGAAACAUCCUAUUAUAAAUGUAUAUGUAUGUGAUCCUCAAAAAAUUAUUUUACAAAACAAGAUAGAGAAAGAGCUUUAAAAUCCCAAGGAUCCUGCAAAAUGUUUAUUUGGUGUACUAGUCGAAUAAUAGUAUCUAAAAAUAUUGAAACUAUUUUAUGGGCAUGAGGAUGAUAUAGAGCACUUACAUAAAUACCAAAAUCAGAUAAAUAUCUCUUCAAAGUUUAUUUUGAGACUUUCUUCAAAAAUUAAACUUCAGACUGUACAGGAUAGCAUAAUAGCAUAGGAGGCGAAUUAAAAAGAAUUGAUUUACUUACAAGAAAAGAUAUCACAAACAUUAAACUCUCUUAUGGCAUUGAUUUGAAAGAUGGGUAUAUGUACAAUGAUGAUGCAACCAGUGUUUAUUUUUGGGUUGAAUGCUUACAGACUCAUGUCCAAUAUUAUUUUACAAACAACAGGGCAUACUAAUGGAUAUUCAUUAUGAAUUUAACAUUUAUGAUUUUUGUCUUAUGUUCCUUAAUACUGUGCCAAAAGUUUGGUAAAUCCUUUAUCGCAAUCGAUGGAACUCAUGGGCUCAAUUCCUAUGACUUUGAACUUAUGACAGUAUUAGUAAAAGAUGAAUUUGGGAAUGGAUUUUGUACUGCUUUCUUAUUUUCAAAUAGAAAAGAUACCUACUUUAAUUUACCAAUUUUUUUAAAUACAUGUCUGUGUUGGUAUUAUAUGUAUAGUCAAAUGUUUUCAUAUCAGGCAUAAGCGACACCUUUUACAAUGCCUCGUCAAAUGUAAUGGGUAUUGCUCCUAAUAGACUGUUAAGUGCCUGGCACAUAAAUAGGGCAUGCUAAGUAAAUCUUAAUAAAAUAUCUGAUUCUGAAAAAAAUCCUAUUAUGUAUACAAGAUGUAUUAGUGAUGGUUUAGAGAGUAUUAAUAGCUUUUUGGGUAGACUUCUAAGUGAUGCAGAUACAUACAAUUUUAGUAAGUAUUUCCAGUAGAACUACUGCAAUAACAUCCAACAAUGGGCCUAUUGUUAUAGGAAGGGGUUGUGGAAUUAAUACCAAUAUGACCAUUCAAAAUUUUCAUAAAAUUUUGGAUAAAAGGGUAUCCAUUAGUUGUUAUCAGUUAAGUUUAAAACUUGGCACUCAUGGAGAGCUAUACCAUAAUAUAUAAUAGGUAUAUCUCAUAAUAUUACAUCUCAUAUUGCUCACUCAUUACAAUAGUGAGCAAUAUGAGAUGUAACAUAUUAUAGUAUAAGUCUCUGUGCAUGACCAGAUUAACAUGUUUGGUGCCCAUCUCGAACAAACUCCACUUGGCUGGUACCACAUACUUAAAUCAUUUAUUUAGUUACACAGUACUACUCACAUAACUUAUGUGUCGUCAGUACCUUCCGUAAAACCUUCGUGAUGCUACCCAUACGUCAUGGCCACUGAAUGUGUUAAAGCUUGUUAAUGUAGGAGAGUUAUACUAAAAUAUAUAUCUUAUAUUAUAUUGCCUUCAAUAGAAAAAAUAUCUUAUUUAAAUUGUAUCCAUGUAAGUUUUGAUUUAAUGAAAUAAACCUUUUAAUCAAAAAAGUGUUGUUUACUUGUGUACACCUAGCAAUAUCCUGAUCAUAGAUAAAUAAUAUAGUAUUACCGGAUCCUGAUAUGCAGACGCCAAUAGGGCUUUUC
This is a long non-coding RNA of Diabrotica virgifera virgifera (western corn rootworm), 1963 nucleotides long. RefSeq lists it as uncharacterized. NCBI's taxonomy places the organism in Eukaryota, Metazoa, Arthropoda, Insecta, Coleoptera, Chrysomelidae. The record is from RefSeq and is a predicted model, not a curated record. The transcript has 4 exons.